CAGUCGCCGCGGUAAUACGGAGGGGGCUAGCGUUGUUCGGAAUUACUGGGCGUAAAGCGUGCGUAGGCGGUUCGUUAAGUCUGUUGUGAAAGCCCCGGGCUCAACCCAGAGUCUGCAGGCGAAACUGUCGGGCUUGAGAAUGGGAGAGGUGAGUGGAAUUUCCGGUGUAGCGGUGAAAUGCGUAGAUAUCGGAAGGAACACCUGUGGCGAAAGCGGCUCACUGGACAAUAACUGACGCUGAUGCACGAAAGCUAGGGGAGCAAACAGGAUUAGAUACCCCCGUAGUCCCUGUCUCUUAUAC
This 301-nucleotide ribosomal RNA is filed under the name uncultured bacterium. RNAcentral describes it as "partial 16S ribosomal RNA". It matches the Rfam family "Bacterial small subunit ribosomal RNA", at positions 509 to 807 of the family's 1533-position model. The record is from RNAcentral.